CAUAAAAUGAAACCUCUCAAUGUAAUUAGCGCCUUUUAAAUAUGAAUUUAUGUCAUUACUUUGGUACUUAUGAUAGCAAUUUUAAAAGCAAGUUAUCUGUAAUGAUAUGUAAAUAUCGUCCUUUUAUUUUCUCCCCAGACCUUCUUAUCCUGCUUUACUCUGCUCACAUAGCUGAGUCCAGCGAAAGGAUUGAUCUGUCUGUUGAUCCUCCAUGGACAGACGUGUUGACUGGAGAUACAGUCACCUUCACUUGUGAGAUCACAGGGACUGACCCCGGCAUUUUGUGGGAAUAUUCAUGGUUUAAGCGUGAUGGAAAUGGUGGAGAACAAGCUUUGCUGUCCACCAGCUCCAGCGAAGGCUCAUCUAAAUACACCAUGACCAAGGUGAAAAAUGCAGACAGCGCACAGUAUUGGUGUACAGCAAAGACAGGAAAUCAGACAUUCAACAGUUCACUGCACACG
Molecule: long non-coding RNA, 461 nt
Filed under: Scleropages formosus (Asian bonytongue)
Lineage: Eukaryota; Metazoa; Chordata; Actinopteri; Osteoglossiformes; Osteoglossidae
Description: lncRNA (ENSSFOG00015029405.1)
Source: RNAcentral